GUCCUACGGGGGGCAGCAGUGGGGGAUAUUGCACAAUGGGGGGAACCCUGAUGCAGCGACGCCGCGUGGGUGAAGGAGCGUUUUGGCGCGUAAAGCCCUAUCGGCAGGGAAGAAGGAGGACGGUACCUGACUAAGAAGCCCCGGCUAACUACGUGCCAGCAGCCGCGGUAAUACGUAGGAUGCGAGCGUUAUCCGGAUUUAUUGGGUUUAAAGGGUGCGUAGGCGGGCUUUUAAGUCAGCGGUAAAAAUUCGGG
Molecule: ribosomal RNA, 254 nt
Filed under: uncultured bacterium
Lineage: Bacteria
Description: partial 16S ribosomal RNA
Rfam family: Bacterial small subunit ribosomal RNA
Source: RNAcentral